GAAAAUCUGCAUAUGUUAAAAAAGCUGAUUAUACCAUGUUUUGUUCAGGCUUACACAAACAUGUUUCAGCAAGUGUAUGGAGAGCAGGUACAAAGAAUCUGAGCUGAAUAUGGGUGAAAAUAGCUGUAUUGACCGAUGUGUCUCAAAAUACUGGCAGGUGACUAACCUGGUUGGUCAGCUGCUCGGUGCAAAUAAACCUUCACUUUAAAGAAUUUUCUCCUUAAGUUUUCCAAAUUUCCAUGGAACAACACUAUAUUGCUCUAAACAUUAUGACCUGAAUAAUAACAUGCCACUGCCCUUAUUGAAAUGCUGAAAUUUUGUUUCAGUUCUUUAUUAGACUUAUUUAUACAAGAUAUUGGUUAUAAAUAAAAUGUGAAGGAAUUGUCUUUCUUUCGAGUUUGAGUUAUUUGAUUUUCUGCGAUUUUAGUAGGUUGAUUCAACCUUAGACCCUAUAAUGUAUAACCGUUAUAGGGUAUAGGUUUGAGCAAUGAGACAAAGUUCGAGAAGAUUCUCAAUUUGAGUAUGUUUAUUUUCUUCAUUAUCAAAAUUUUAUUAGAAAUUUAAGAUAUAUAUUUUUAAUUAUGAAUCAAAUGAUUGUGUGAUUCUUGGCUUUUAAUGGCAUCAUUUGUA
This is a long non-coding RNA of Impatiens glandulifera, 630 nucleotides long. RefSeq lists it as uncharacterized. NCBI's taxonomy places the organism in Eukaryota, Viridiplantae, Streptophyta, Magnoliopsida, Ericales, Balsaminaceae. The transcript is spliced from 3 exons. The record is from RefSeq and is a predicted model, not a curated record.